RNAcentral lists this non-coding RNA (31 nucleotides) under Mus musculus (house mouse). The record is from RNAcentral. Lineage: Eukaryota; Metazoa; Chordata; Mammalia; Rodentia; Muridae.
UGCAAUUAAUAUUUAGGUAAAUUCCACUGGC